RNAcentral lists this ribosomal RNA (459 nucleotides) under uncultured bacterium. RNAcentral describes it as "partial 16S ribosomal RNA". It matches the Rfam family "Bacterial small subunit ribosomal RNA", at positions 338 to 795 of the family's 1533-position model. The record is from RNAcentral.
CCUACGGGUGGCAGCAGUGAGGAAUAUUGGUCAAUGGGCGCGAGCCUGAACCAGCCAAGUCGCGUGAGGGAAGACGGUCCUAUGGAUUGUAAACCUCUUUUGUCAGGGAGCAAAGGACGCCACGCGUGCCUUUCCGAAUGUACCCGAAGAAAAAGCAUCGGCUAACUCCGUGCCAGCAGCCGCGGUAAUACGGAGGAUGCGAGCGUUAUCCGGUUUUAUUGGGUUUAAAGGGUGCGCAGGGGGACGAUGAAGUCAGUGGGAAACUUUAGGGGCUCAACCUCUUCUAGCCGUUGAAUCUGGUUGGCUUGAGUGAGGUAGAGGUAUGCGGAAUGCGUGGUGUAGCGGUGAAAUGCAUAGAUAUCACGAAGAACUCCGAUUGCGAAGGCAGCAUACCGGCGUGCAACUGACGCUCAUGCACGAAAGUGUGGGUAUCGAACAGGAUUAGAUACCCGUGUAGUC